GCCGGGAUAGCUCAGCUGGGAGAGCAGCAGACUGAAGUGCAUACAGAUUAAUCUGAAGGUCGCGUGUUCAAUCCACGCUCCUGGCA
Molecule: non-coding RNA, 86 nt
Organism: Cytidiella melzeri
Lineage: Eukaryota; Fungi; Basidiomycota; Agaricomycetes; Polyporales; Irpicaceae
Source: the annotation of a GenBank genome assembly